Vicia faba (fava bean) is the source of this 234-nucleotide non-coding RNA. NCBI's taxonomy places the organism in Eukaryota, Viridiplantae, Streptophyta, Magnoliopsida, Fabales, Fabaceae. The record is from the annotation of a GenBank genome assembly.
AUGAAUGGACUUGAAGAAUUAACUAAUGCAGAUGUUAGUGUUUCAUUGAAUGAAGUUUCUAGAAAUCAAGCUUAUCCUCAAGAAGAUGCUACAUCACUAUACCAAACAUUGCAUGAUGUGCAAACAACAAAGCAUACAUGCAGCAGGCUAGACACAUGCUUACAUGCACCAAGAAAAAGAGUCAUACUCAGAAACAAUUUCAUCAUUUAUAAACAGAUGCAACCUAGGUUUUAA